GGAGAGAUGCCAGAGUGGUUGAACGGGACGGUCUCGAAAACCGUUUUACCCGCAAGGGUAACGUGGGUUCGAAUCCCACUCUCUCCG
RNAcentral lists this transfer RNA (87 nucleotides) under Bacteroidia bacterium. RNAcentral's name for it is "tRNA-Ser". It matches the Rfam family "tRNA". Rfam says of the family: Transfer RNA (tRNA) molecules are approximately 80 nucleotides in length. Their secondary structure includes four short double-helical elements and three loops (D, anti-codon, and T loops). Further hydrogen bonds mediate the characteristic L-shaped molecular structure. tRNAs have two regions of fundamental functional importance: the anti-codon, which is responsible for specific mRNA codon recognition, and the 3' end, to which the tRNAs corresponding amino acid is attached (by aminoacyl-tRNA synthetases). tRNAs cope with the degeneracy of the genetic code in two manners: having more than one tRNA (with a specific anti-codon) for a particular amino acid; and 'wobble' base-pairing, i.e. permitting non-standard base-pairing at the 3rd anti-codon position. RNAcentral also lists the same sequence under 1 other name. The record is from RNAcentral. Lineage: Bacteria; Pseudomonadati; Bacteroidota; Bacteroidia.